This is a long non-coding RNA of Nelumbo nucifera (sacred lotus), 4967 nucleotides long. RefSeq lists it as uncharacterized. The record is from RefSeq and is a predicted model, not a curated record. Lineage: Eukaryota; Viridiplantae; Streptophyta; Magnoliopsida; Proteales; Nelumbonaceae.
UUCUUCAAAACCACCUUACCCGCUUCCAUUUCUUCCUCGUUAAGAGAAUUCUCAACCGACAUCUCUCUCCCACACCUCCCCUUCAUCCCCAGAAUUUCGUCAUUUCUGCUUCUAUCUUGGAAGACCAGACCACACCAUCAACAAAGAGGAGCAUGUAUGCAAUACGAAGCAUUGGUUGAUCAGUUUAACGGGAUAUUGGUCCGGUUCAAUUAGAAAGCAGUGCUCAUGUGUUCAAGAGUUCUGCUGUUUGAUUGAGCCGUGCCAAUAUCACGUGGCUCUGCUCUUGUUUAUCAAACCAAACAUACUGAUUUGAGGUAGCUCGUUUCUCAUUUUUCCUCUCUCUCUCUCUCUCUAUGUUUAUCUUUAGUGGAUCCUUUCUUAAGCGGUUCAUGUUGUAGACUUUUAGCAAAUUUGGUACUUCCGAGCUAUAUAAUAUACUGAAAGUUGAAGCAGGGUUUUUAGUGGCCCGGUGUUGGGCUGGGCAGGUUACCUGAUUGGCCCAGAUGGCCGAGAAAUCCAGGCUCAAUACCCAUUUUACCAAUAUAAAUAAUAUGUACACAGUGAAGUAUGGCUUGGUUAAUUUACCAAAAAAAAAAAAAACGGUAUGGCUUGGUUAUUGGGGCCAAGAAAUUUUUAAUCCAGGGGUUGGGAUACCGUUAACAGAAUGUUGCUCAGACUGGGUUGAUUUAUUUAUUUAUUUUGAAAUUCAUUCCAAACCCACAAAGUAUUGGUAUGGACUAUGGAGCAGGGUCCUACACCAAUCUCAGAACGACCAUUUCAUUACCUUGAGAUUUGAAUUGAUGAAUUCGGAUCUGCUCCUCACAGAAUGCGUCCCACACCAAUCUCACAGCACAUUUCAGUUGUACGUCUGGAACAUCUCCAUAAUUGAGAGUUUUUAUUCAUAAGGAGAUCUUCUCAAUGCAUGGGUGAAACGCGCUGUGAGGUUGAUGUGAGGCGCUCUGUGAAUAGCAGAUCCGAAUUCUGAAUUGAGGCAUGAGAACACUGGCACACAGAGUUUCUCUUUGGGAGCAUUUGCAUUCCUCAAACCUCUAUCCUUGGAAGCUUUUUCUUCCCUUUUUUUGGGUACUGAUUAAACCUUUGCUUUGUUUUUUAUUUGCUAUAUACUUUACCGCCACUGGAUCUCCUAAUGUGCAGCUGGAUGAUGUUGUGUGUGCAGAUUUUUGCUUGCAUGAGAUGGUGCUAUGUUUUACCAAGAAAAAACUAUUUAAUUGAGCAUGAUAAUGGAGAAUAUUGCUUUUAGAGAAAAGUUUUCUAAAUUAUUUUCCUAACAAAAUGGAGUAGGUAAUUUCCUUUUCCAAUCUUCUCAUUUCUGAAAAGGUGUUUUCUUUUUCUUUUUUGUUAAAUCUUUUAGUGUACCCUCUCCGUUUGAAUAAAUCUUUUUUGUUAAAUCUUCUCAUUUCUUAAAAGGUGUUAAAUCUUUAUGGGUUUAUAUUUUUUUUUUCUCAUCCUAUCGUUUUAGGUGUUAAAUUUUUUCGCAAUGAUGGAAAAGAUAAAAAACCUUCACAAACUUUGUAUAGGUUUUCCCGUCUUUCCCUUCCUUUUUCUACUUUUUCCUUCAAACCAAAUAUAGCUUAGUUGAAAGUGUCCCUAUUAGAUUUUAACCAUUUAGACUAAAUUUGACCAAAAAAGAAAAAUAAAAAGAUUUAAGCCAUUUAGCAGAUGCUCGACAACAUGGAACAUGGUUCGAUUUGUUUUAGUUUUAAAAAAAAGCAACCAUGCUGUUAAAGACCACCUUAGAAUGUUUCUGUUUUCAUUUGUUUUUUAAAAUUACUAUAUCAGCAAAAAAAAAUAAUAAUAUGUUAUUGAACCAUACUUUUGUUUUGGAAGAAAAAAAAAGAUUUUGUUUAAAAAAAUAAUACAUGUGUUUGAAUACAGCAAAUAAUAGUUUUUAAAACGAAAACAAAAUGUAUAUAGUAGAAUAGUUUUUAAAUAACAGAUGAAAACAUGUUCUUUAAACAAAAAAAAAAAAAAAUUGAAGAAGAAAUUUUUGGUUUCAAUUUUGGAAACAAAAAACACACGUAACCAAGAGCAUAUUUCUGUGGUCUUGUUUUAUGAAUCAAUUUGUUUCCAAACAAGUUGGUUUAGUUUCAUUUUCAGAAUCCACAACCAGAAAAUUCACAUCGGGGAACGCCCUACGACUCUACUCUUGCUCUUAUUCUACCCACGAAACACUGCAGCCCAUGGUUUUCAAAACCGGAUCGGACUGGAUGGUCGGACCGGAAAAAUCAGAAACCACUUAGGUGACCGGUUUUGUUUCUCCCAAAAUUGGAUUUUCUCAAAAAAAAAUGUUGAUUUUGACCGGUAAACCGCUAAACCGGGUGAUUAACAGUUCGAACCGUUUGAUUCAAACGAUUUUGAUAUUUUUUUAUAUUUUUUUGUCAGAACGGGCAACCAGACCUCUGACCGGGUCGAUUUUAAAAACCAUGCUGCAGCCCCACAUCUCACCAGUGAUCACAUUAAUAAGGAACAUAUGAAUAAGCCAUGUUCAGCUGCGAGUCCAACUUCAGUCAAAGCAAAGUCUGUUCGAACAACCUUUACAGUCUUGCAUUGGGAAUAUCUCCCUACUUGUGUAUUUUAAUUCAUGGGUAAAUAUUCCUAAUGCAAGAUUAGAAGAGGCCGUUGAAACUGUGUGAGCAUGGGCUUGCUACUUCAACUGCAAUGCAGUGUAUUGUGGGUAGAGUCCUGUGGGCACAAAAUCGGGUGUGCCCCCACUGUUGACUUGUUUUUCCUGGUGGUAAGCCAUAUCAUGUUUCUAAUCAAACAUCCCUUCCACCCUGUUGACUUGUUUUUCCUGGUAAAAAUUUUUCCAAAUUUGGAUUAUCAAAUCUUUUGUCCUGCUGCAUUGCAUGUCUUUUUUCUCAUGAGAGGACAUAAAUAAAUAAGGCAUUAUUCAUCCUUAUUUAUUUAUUUAGCUAAAGGUUGUGAUAUGUGAUAUCCUCUAUUUGUUUCAUUUGCUACACACACCCAAAAAUUAAAAAAAAUUAUAAAAAUAAAAUAAAAUAGAAUCCGUAUCCAUUAAAUAAAAAUGGCGUUUAAUUUAUUUUUUCAUCAAGGAUUAUUUGUGGAAUGCCAGUGAUGAUCGAUUAGGAGGACCUUUGGCACUUUCUUUGCAAUCCUUUUCCCAAAUGCAAACCACCAUAUAUAAUAAGAGACCACUGCUCAACAUGUAUAGUUCCAUAUGAAGAAAUUGCCUGCGAGAUUGAUUGUUUAUCAAAAUUGAAGUUGUCAUUUUUAGUAGAUAAAUAUACAUGUGAAAUAUAUUCGGAUCUAACUAGAUAAUCUCGAUUAAUACUUGGUUUGAUUUUGGAUCCAUCUUAUAAAACCCAUACCCAUUUACAGCACUGGGACCAAAUCAAUACCUAACCUGAUCCUUCUGGCAUCCCUAGUUGCGAUAUGUGAACUACCCGACCAGCUCAUUGGAGACAAGAAGUGGGAACUUUUUGUGAGUGGAGAAAAGAACAAAAGCAAAAAAAAAAAAAAAAGCCAUACAAGAAAACAAAAAAGUAGGAACGUGAAGUUGCUUUUAUUGUGGUGUGGUGGGUGGUAUUGAUCCUCUGUCUUGCACGCCAAGGCUUGUUGCUUUCUUUAUUGGACAAAGGGCCCGUUUGAGAAGGUUUAAGGGUUGGUUGGUUGAACUGUAUUAACUGGGCCACUCCUAACAAGCUACCAAAACUAACUUGACCGGUUUCACACUUCAAUAUAAGCAUUUGUGGGGUUUUCACCAAAUGAGCACGGUCUUGUUAGGACUGAAUCUGAUCUAACCUUGCAAGGCCAAAAGCCACUGGGUGAAAGGCCAAAAGCCCUCCCAAAUGAAUUUGGAUUAUCUGCUAAUCACAACACAUUGCUGGCCACAUUCACCCAGCUGCAUGUUAGAAACAUCUCUUGUAUUUUAUAUACUGAUCUUCCUGAAUUAAUGUGGUCAGCAAUGUGUUGCCAGCCGCAUAUUAGGCUCAGUUUGAAAGGACUACAAAUACAAAUACAUAUAGUGCAAAUACAUACAAAAUACAAGGUUUUACACUCUACAAAUUUGUAUUUGUACUCUUUUCAAACUGAGCCUUAGGAACAUCUCUUGUAUUUUAUACCACUGAUAUUACUGGAUUAAUGUGGCCAGUAAUGAGUUGUAGUCAGAAGAUCCGAACUCCUCCCAAAUGGGGCACAAAAGUUGCACCCAGUAGCGUAGGUAAGGUGAUUAGAAGAAAGUUAAAGCCACUAAUACAAACAAAGACCAUUUUGUUUAUUGAAGACCCCCCAACCCGGAUGAAAGUGGGAUUCAAUCCCAAGUCCCUGCACAACCAGCCAGAGACCUUACCAGCAAGCAAGCUGGCUUCUGCAUUCCUAAGCCCAAGAUGGAGGUUUGGGGUCAUGGAAUAGUGUUUUUAGUUAAAAUUUGUUUGAUUGAUGCAUGGCUCAUCUCCUCGAGGAUAACUCAAAGUUCAGCUAUAACUAUGAGCUUGUAACUGUCUCACUGAAUGUUCUAGUUAAUCUGUUUGACUGUAUUUCUCAUCCACUGUAGCACUUAUGCUUCAUCCUUGAGAUUGCAGGAAAACACACCAUUUCUUGCAGUGUAAUUGUGGGUAUCACAUUCUCACUUGUUCUCAUAUAAGAAUUCCUGUGAAAUCAAUAGAGUAUCGUACGACACUAAAUGGUUCAAAUCAGUGGAAGUUCUGAUACUUGUCCAAAUUAACAAAGUGAAGUGGAAUGUAUUGCCAUCUCUGAUGCAUCUUCAGGGUAAUACCCCACUAGAACUUUCUAGUUUUCUACAUCUCUAAUGUGGGUUUUGAUCAAAUCUUCAGGGUAAUAACUUUGUUUUUUUCAUAAAGUUUCUAGUUUUCUACAUUCAUUUUUUCUUUUAUUUUUUCGUAAAAGAAAUUAAGCAUCAAAGUUGUAACCAGCUCUCUAUGACUUGUUCUAAAACGAAACCCAAGGAAAAAGGAAAAAAAAAAAAA